Molecule: long non-coding RNA, 8073 nt
Organism: Aquila chrysaetos chrysaetos
Lineage: Eukaryota; Metazoa; Chordata; Aves; Accipitriformes; Accipitridae
Exons: 3
Source: RefSeq, a predicted model, not a curated record
CGUUCUUGAAGGAAAAGGCAGAACAUAUAAAUGUAAACAUGGUUUGUUUUUGUCUGGGUAUUGCAGCACAAUAUAUCAUCAGUUUGACAUGUGCAGUGCUAGUGACGUUUAUUUCAGUAGCUCUGUGUAGGACAGUACUGUAACUGGUUUGUGUUAAUUGUACUCUUGACUUCACUGACUAGCUUAAAAGAAAUAAUAGAUACACGGCACCACAUUGUCCCUCUGACAGUGUCUAAUAUCUUUAAAUAGCCUUCAAAAUAUUUUGAGCCAUAGGAAAGAAACUAGCUGGGUAGAUUCUCCCUGCCCCUUUUAUAUUAAAGUUUUAUCCCCAAGGAAAUGCUCUUCUUCAUUCUGCUAAAGGAGUGUUUCUCAUUUUUCAGACAGGAAAAUCUUACAGGUUAAGUCAUGUCCUAUAGGUCACAAAGCAAGCUCGCUGUUAUGACUGGAACCCAGAACUUUUGAUGCCCAGAUAAAUACCACAAUAACAAGAAAAUUACUUUCUAGAAGGACACAAUGAGCUGUGUUGCACAAUAUUAUGUUCACAGGUCAAAACACGCUGGCAUAUGCAUUUCAACAUGCAACAUUUCAACAUGCAACAGCAUUUCAAAUGUAUGUAUAGACAGAAGGCAGUAGAAAAACUAGUCAUUAUAUUAAUUCUAAAUUUUCACAUCAAUACUUAACUGUUUCUGUUUGGACUGCUGACUGCAAGAUGAUUCCUAGCACCUUCUGACAUAAAUGAAAGGUGGUGUAACACAGACUGGCUCGAGGCUUAUACAGCCUUUAAAAUUAUAAAAGUUACUUACAAGGUAUUAGAUUAAUUGAAUUAUUAAUGUUAUUAGUAAAGAUUUUUGCCAUCUGUGUGCAUGUUUAGCAAACUUUUUAUUUCCAAGUAACACUCCUAGCUGAAGACUCUGCAUCUAAUUGAAAAUGUUAAAAAAAAAAAAAAAAAGGCAUGAGAUGUUCUAUGGAGUUCUGUAAUAUUAAGGAUCAGUGAAGGGAGUACUCCCAGAGCUAUAAAUUGUAUCACCUUUAUAUAGAAGACACUGCUAAUAUGAACAGAUUGGAAUUUUAAUUACUUUUUAAAAGUCUUUUGGGGGCUAUGCUAUUCAGAACACUAUGUAAAGAAUACUGUGAUAGAUUUGAGCAUUAAAACUGAUACGAUUUUGUAUUUGUCCUACGUUGCAAUCUUACCUUACAUGUAAUCUUUCAAGGAUAUCAGAAUUUAUUUUUUUUUCCUAACAAAAGCAAUCUUUCAUAAAAUCUCUUGCAUGUUUAACUUAGAAUCCGUUGUUGAGAUCUACAACAUACAUACCUACUUAUAUACAUACAGACCGUAGCAAAAGUCAGAUUCCCUCUGAACAUGUGGUCUGUCAAUAUGUAAAAAUAUAUUUAUCAUAUGACACUACUAUCAAGAAAAAUAUUUGCUUAGACCUAGGAAUCCUGAGAUUAAAUUCAAGGAAGGGAAUCAAAAUCAGUAACACUAUAUUCCAGUCCCUUUUAUAUCUAAUAGGAAUCACCUGACACACAAUUGUCAUUUUUUUUACACAUUUUUAUCACUGAAUAAUAAGCAUUAAAAAAUGAGAGCCAAGCACAUGGCUUGAGAUGUGUACUUAAACCUUUGAAUUCAUAUACUUGCUUCAAAUUGUUUAUUUUAAGUAUUUAAAUUAUUUUGAUUCGAAAUACUAUGUCACAAAAACCUCUGGAUCUGAUACAGCCCCAGUGGAAGGACUGCAAAACUCAUCUGUAAAUCUGUCCACUGAAGCUAGCAGCAAUUUGCCUGUGAAUAGGCUGUGAGUAGGUUUCAAUAUUAAAUAUUUUGUAAAAGAUAAUUUUGCUGUCUGGUUGUUUUCUAAAUAUGAGCAAAGCAAAGAUGUCUUUUAGCUUCUUCUUAGGGCUUUUGAUUUCUUUUAAUUAUAGGACCAAGAGUCAUUAACAUGAACCAACAAAUUCAUGGUGGUGUUCUAAAAGUUAGAACAGUAGCAACUAGGUAAUAUUUUUCAAAUAUAAUUUCCACAGUGGAAAAGAUAUUAAAUGUUUGUUAUGUGCCAGGAAAUGAGUAAUAUGAGAAUACUUUUGUUCUUUUACAAAAUGGAAGAGCAUUAACAGCAUUUUAGGUUUUUAUUAUAUGUAAAGUUUUUUUUGAUUACCAACAGUCUCAUAAUAGAUAAAUAAAAAUAGCAGAAAAGACAUGCAGUUAUUAAAUAGGCUGAAUAAGAUAAACCAAUCUCAUUUAUGUAUGGAAUAAGCCCAUUAUUAUCUCAAGUUUUGAACAUUACUUCAACUGUACGUACACUGACUAUUUAAAAUGUUAUUCAGAAUACAGAACUUGGGUCAUCCAUUAUAAUGUUAUAUUUACUAUGUUAUUUGACUUCUGAUAUGUUAGAUCCAGUUUCUCACUGAAUUAAGACACAAUCAAUUCUGCUUCAGUCAGUACUGAGGGGAUACCAUUGCAGCUCCCUGUACCAUUACAUGUAGGACAUAUGACUACAUAAAUAACAGUAUCAGAGUUUGAACGCAGGAAGCAGUACUGUACCUGUGUCACAUUGAAGCUGUUCAGAAGGGCUCAGAUAAGCCAUCUAGUUUCACAUGUGUUAGAGAAAGAUGUGGGGAAGGGAAGAGCUAUAGCAAACAGAGUAGCAAAUUGACUGCAAGAGAUAAAUCACUAUUCAGAUGCUGUAAGUCUAUAGAAUAAAGACCUAACUAGUUUUCUCAAGAGGGGACCAGAAAUGUGGCCAGAAGUAAGGGUAAAGGAAGCAGACCAGUAUUCAUGAUGAGCCUGCAAUGUAUCUUUUCCUUAAAUGGUUAGUUAUGGAAGCAGAAAUCCAUACAAAAAUAAACUCCAUUAAUAAAUGGUCACUACUACAUUUCUCAAUUAUACUAAACUGUUUCAGACUUUGUUCAUUUGUUGCCAUUGAUGGCUGAUUAAAUACAUGUAAAUGGUUUUGUUUUCAUUUUCCUUAAAUUUUAAAUGUGUAUAAACGUUUUUAUUCCCAAAUUUAAACCACCAGUGCCAAGAUUCUGACUGAAGCGGAUCUUUAUGGUUGUAUUAUAAACAAGUGCAAAUAUAAGUUAUGAGGUACAGAGCUGACAUAAUGUUAAUUAUAGCUGGAAGAUUUGCCAGUGUGUAUACAGUGUGGAAAUGCAAGGAAUCAUUGUAAGUUAAUAAAGAUCAUUAAAAGAAAUCACACAUUUCAUAAUCAUGCUCUCAUCAAGAUAGUAUGACCUAUUUUAUACUUAAGCAAUUAAAAUAGAAGCUGAAAUAUUUGGAGAUGAUUAACUUAUCCAGUAGUCAGACUUGACAGGUGAUAUUACCCAAUAAAUAAUCACUGAGUGACUGGAAUUCUUAACCAAAAUGAUUUUUUGUUGACUUCUAGGUUGGUUGUUUGGUUGGUUUUUUUUUAACAAAAAGCCACUUAAAAGUCGUCUUUAUAUUUCCAAAGACAAAUUAUAUUUUGUAUAUUCCUUUAAAAGAGAAAUCUACAGCCUUGCCAUGACUGCUCUCUGAGGCUUUUGGAGACCUCAGUGGUGAGAACAGCGUAAAUAUCUAACUAGAUUGCAGCAGGUUAAUUUUGUAUCAGAGGAAUCACCAAGAUAUUCAUAUAUAAAGCCAGGGAAUCUGUGCUAGUCAUUUCUGGAGUUCAGAACUAAUCCAUAACAAAAUCAUCCCAUGACUGGAGUUGGCAGUAAGGAGAACUGAGUGUGUCCAGAAGAUCUUCAGAUUGGAGUAUGAAUCAAACAUAGACUCUGUGAUAUAAUCUGGACUCAUAUUCAAAUAAUCUAGAUACAGUAUCUUGAUAAUUCAUAUAAAAUCAUCUUAUCUUAUAAAUUUAUUCUAAUUUGUACCAGAAUUUCACAAUAAUAUUCUUCUAAAACUCUGGGUAUAUCUGAAACCAAAAGGAAAACAAACCUUUUCUUAGAACAUAUCUGAAAUGAAAAUUGUGGCGUUUUUGUUCCAGUCUGAGCAUUAGGAGAUGAAUGUUGCAAAUUCAAGAGAUUCUAGAUUCAAGGUCUGGGCCCUGAUUUGCCCUCUAGCCAGUCACAGAAAGGUGUAAAAUGCCUUCAUUGGAACCUCAGCAAGGUGAGGUACUGCAUGCACUUCACCUAUCAGAGGGAGCAGUUACAGCUACCAGCUGAUUUCAGAAUGCAUUUUUAUCUGCAAUAGUAGGCCAGGGUAAGUCAGCUCUAGCCUUAAACAUAGUAUCUUUCUGCACCAGCUCUAUUCCUAUCUCUUCCUUUGCAGAUUAUCCAGUUAAUAAACAGAAAGUUCCAAGAAGUCAAAAAAAACCCCCCAAACCCAGAGGUAACUCCUUUUCAAGAUGCUCCUGCCAGAAAGUAAAGACUGAGCCACAGCUGCAAUUUCCUGAUAACACACUUCUUGCUAACAUUCCGGUAUUUCUGAUCGGUAACUAAAAUACUAAUUUCCUCCAGAAAACAGGGGACAAAAGGAGUGUCCAGGAUGUGUCUCUGAAGGUCUACUUCUACUUUUUGCCAAGGGCUGGUGCACUACUGAAAUUUAAGAAAAAUCUUAAAAGAUUUAGACUGCAAUUUCUGAAACUGAAGUAUUAUUGUAUAGAAAUUGUAUUAUCUGAAGUAUUACUAUAUAGAAAUUUACCUCCUCAAUGCAAUUUGUCUACUUUUUCUCCAAACAUCACAGAAGCAAAUUAAAAUUUAUAUACACCAAAAUAUUUUACAAAAGAUUUUAAACUACUCUGUUAUUUGAGAAAAGAUUCUGGCAGCGCUGAUGGAAUUUGCUUUAUGUACUGCUAUGGUUUAUACUUGUUCAUUGUAUAAUUUGUUUUAUUUCAACUGCAACUCAACAGGAUCACAAAGGAAAGUAUGAAUAAACAUGAAUUUGAGAUGUUGCAACUGAGCACACGAGUGUAAUGAUGUUAAAUUUUUCCCUACAAAUCAGCUCCUUGCAAGAAGCUUUAAAUGUCUGAUUUCCUCCACAGAACUCAAACCAAACCACUGAUGUUAUUAAAAAUGAGUAGCUUGCCUGCAUAUGUCCCUUACAGCAUCAUUCUCUUAUAACUGAUUUGUACAAUACAAAAGCCAAUACAAAAGAUUGCACAGAAAGGAGUUUGCUCUUACCCUACCUAAGCAGUUCCCACAAAAGCUGCCACUGAAACUUCUCUCAGUACACGCCAGAGAUUUCUACAUUGUGAAAGCUAAGGAAUUUGACUGCAUGGUUUUUAAAGAAACCAACAGGAUCAUCAGUUUUAUACGAUUACGUUUUUGCCUGCUGAUAUUCAUCCAUUCUUGAAAGGAAAUUAAAGCAAUAUAAAAAGACAGGAGUUACACUGAACCAGUAGUGUUUUACUUUUCUCAUGCUCGUGAAUGCAGAUUCCAAUUAAAAAGCGAUGAUGGUUAGACCUUUUGUAUCUUAUUUUCCCUUCCAAUUUGUGAAAUAUAGUUAGAUAGAGCACUAAAAUAAGGAUGAAGAGAGAAGGAUAGAGGUAGCAAGGCAUCUAAAUGUAUAUCUAAAUAUAAUCAAGAUUGUUUAUGUCAGUGAGCUCUCCAAAAGGAUAAGCAUGUGUUUAUGUGACUUUCUCAGUCAGGGAGAUGGUUCGCAAUGCUUCCUCAUGCAUUGUAUCCUUUAUUGAUCAUAUUUCAAAGGCCUUUUUUUCAAGAUUCUGAACAACUAAAUCAAAAGUUAAAUUAUUAUCCCAGUUGUAGAAAUGGAGAAAUUGAAGUAUUGAAGUUGUUUACUAUUAGGGAUAGGAUUAGAUUUCAUGUCAUCACUCUAAAUCUUGCAUCCAGUCUUCUAGCACUGACUACCUACCAUAAUGUGACACACGUUCACAUGUUUGGUUUUAAGUGAUUAAUACCCAGGGAAGAGCAAUUGCCUGAAUAUCAGGCAAAUGACUAAAAAUUUCUUAAGGAUAACUCAACGUUGAAGAUAAAAGACCUAACAUUUCAUGUUACAAUUCUCAUCUUUACUGUUUCUCAGGCAUGCUCUGAUUCAUCUCUGCAGAAUACUUCAUAUACUGUAGUUUAACUUUACAUUUCUAUCAUGAUACCAACAAUUUUCCAAAACAGCGAUUUCCCUACACACUGAGUAUUGCUAGCUCUUAAAUCAAAUGUAUACUGUCUGCUUCCAUCCCUGUUCUCUGUCUCAAUUAUUAUUUUUCUGAAGAUAAGAAAAUCCCAUUUUUACCACUGGAGAGCCAGGCUGCUUAGGUCACAAGAUUCUCUUGGCUUAAUCCUUGAGUAUGAAUCAUGAACUUUCCCUAAUAAGUACUGGCAUUCUUCAGAUGAUCAAGCUAGCUUACUAAGGCUUCCAGAGCUUUCCACAUUAAUUAUCACCAUGUUUGAAGUAUCAAAAGCAGUAGCUGAUUAAGAAUUAUUAAGACUAUAAGUUGUUUAUUCUUACUUUUUGUUUCUGUCCUCUAUUUCUCACUCUUAUGUGGGUUGAUACUGUAAAUGGCAAUAAUACAACUCAGUUAAAAGAAAACAAAAUGUGAAAAAGAAUACAAAAAAGAUAAAUCAGACAGAAAAAUAUCGAUGUGAAAAAUUGGAAACAAAGUUAGUUGCUUUCUACACUACAUGGCUCAAAAGUAAGCUAUAAAUGCCUACGACUCCAGUUCAGAAAAAGCUUUUUUUCUCACAUUUAAUAUCAGAAAAUUGUGACAUAACCAGACUAAUAGUAAGCCUCUACUCUGCAAAUUACUUAUAACCCCUGCAAAAGAAUCAUACACUCUACUGAGAAGUCAUAGUAAAUGCCAUGUGAUUAAGUAAGAGGUCUGUUAAGAAAUAAAUAAAAUGAAGUCCCUAAAAAGAAACAAGAAACUAUUUCUUAACACUUGAAAGUGGGAACAGAAUAUUCACUCUAGAUUCAGAGUACAGAAAAUUGCUAAGACUGGACUCUACUAAGUACUUUAAAUCUGGAAACAUGAAGAUCCUGGGCACUUCAGGAAAGAUUUUAUAUUCAUGCAGCAAAUUUAGAUACUAAAGCUAGUAAAAGUAGAACAAAUAUGAACCUAUUCAGUUUAGCUACCAAAAAUAUUUUUGUAUCUUUUACCAGGAUUAGCACAUCUAAAUAAAGAUGCAAGUAAAUUCCUCAAACAGUAUUUUAAGUGUGGCAGAGUAUGACAGGAUAAAAGUAUAUUUAAUGUUUGCAAAAAUAAGUAGGUUUGUACUUAACUGGCAGUUAAUUAAAAAAUGUGUGUCUAUGGGCCCAUUAUAUAUGUAUGAAUAACAGGACACACCCAAGUCAUAGUCAAAAUCAUUUGGGAACUUUUAUGAAGACAACAAAUAUUUUUACAAUAGCAGUGAUUAAGCCUGAAAAUAAAAGCAGAAAGCUCUGAAAGGAAAUCAGAAGUGAGUCAAAAUCACUAGUGGUUACUCUCAUAUUUAUCAUCAGAAGUGAGUCAAAAUCACCAGGCAUUACUCUCACAUUUAUCAUUAUAUAAACUGUAGUAUAAGAAUGCAGUCAAGAGGAAAAGAAGAAACAAGAUGAAAAGAGCAAAUCCAAGACACAUCUUUAGUAUUAUUUCCAAAGCUGACAAGUUCAAGAAAAAUACUACGAGUAGUAUUAAAUAGAAAAGGCUUCUUUGAGCUCUCAAAAGAAUGAGUUCUCAAAAAAGAACUAAAACCAGUGAAAUAACAUUGCAGUUUAUGUUUCUCAGAAAUACAAGAAUCCUUUGAAAUCAAAUUUGGAUACUGUAUUUAGGUAUUUACAAAUUUAAAAAAUACACAAAAAUAUCUUAAAGGUUCAGUACAGUCCUUUUUUGAGGCAUGAUUUAGUGACAUACUUGAGCAAGUGAGUAGCUGAACCUGAGUCUUGCUUCCAAGAACUUCCAUAAUUUAGCCCCCAAGUUCAGGAAAUGACUUUAAGUCAUACCAACCUGAUUCAGUAAACUAUUUGAAGACACAGCAUACUAAGCAUUGAAUUUCAUAUUUGCUAUGUACUUUACCAGAUAAACAGAAUCUUUCUCCAGAAUGAAGGUGUCUCUGCAGAAAGAGUAAAACAUCCUCUAGUUCUAUUAACUAUUUUUCUAACUAAGUACAGAAUACAAAAGUUGUGUAGAAGAUCUAGAAUGGAUGGGUAGAGAUCUAUGUCAUCCCUGUCUU